Molecule: ribosomal RNA, 516 nt
Filed under: uncultured bacterium
Lineage: Bacteria
Description: bacterial SSU rRNA
Rfam family: Bacterial small subunit ribosomal RNA
Source: RNAcentral
GAGUUUGAUCCUGGCUCAGGAUGAACGCUGGCGGCGUGCUUAACACAUGCAAGUCGAACGGGAAACCUUUUAUUGAAGCUUCGGCAGAUUUAGCUGGUUUCUAGUGGCGGACGGGUGAGUAACGCGUGGGUAACCUGCCUUAUACAGGGGGAUAACAGUCAGAAAUGACUGCUAAUACCGCAUAAGCGCACAGAGCUGCAUGGCUCGGUGUGAAAAACUCCGGUGGUAUAAGAUGGACCCGCGUUGGAUUAGCUAGUUGGUGAGGUAACGGCCCACCAAGGCGACGAUCCAUAGCCGGCCUGAGAGGGUGAACGGCCACAUUGGGACUGAGACACGGCCCAGACUCCUACGGGAGGCAGCAGUGGGGAAUAUUGCACAAUGGGGGAAACCCUGAUGCAGCGACGCCGCGUGAAGGAAGAAGUAUCUCGGUAUGUAAACUUCUAUCAGCAGGGAAGAAAAUGACGGUACCUGACUAAGAAGCCCCGGCUAACUACGUGCCAGCCGCCGCGGUAAUUC